Papilio machaon (common yellow swallowtail) is the source of this 132-nucleotide non-coding RNA. NCBI's taxonomy places the organism in Eukaryota, Metazoa, Arthropoda, Insecta, Lepidoptera, Papilionidae. The record is from Rfam.
GUUGGGCCUUAUCGAAGCUACGUAUUACUUUAGUGAAUAUGAUAGUCAAAUAAAGGCCAAAAUUAGAUGAUCCCUAAACGGUCGCGGUUUAGACAUCGUGUCUUCAACGUAUUACCGACGGGACCUACAUCU